Molecule: long non-coding RNA, 866 nt
Organism: Mercenaria mercenaria
Lineage: Eukaryota; Metazoa; Mollusca; Bivalvia; Venerida; Veneridae
Exons: 3
Source: RefSeq, a predicted model, not a curated record
GCUUGUUUAUAUUCGGCUACUCUUUGGAUUUUAUCGCUACGUUUGAAAUACGUAAACUGUCUCCGCCAAUGAAAACGUUCUUUACAACCACCGUUUUGUCAACGGUAAUCAUGGCAGGCGAAGGUAAUUUUCGAAAGCGAAACAGUUCAAUUGCAAAUUUGUGUCUCUGUGGUCGAGUGGUUUAAGGUAGCAUCCAGCAGGCGUACAGAGGGUCUAUGGUUGUACUGAAAUAUGGCAUGGAGGGAACGUGGGGUCCUCCACCAUCAAAAGCUUGAAAGUCGCCAUAUGACGCAUAAUUGUCAGUGUGAAACUAUAGGACACAAAAUAUGAUGCAGGAAAGGGCCAAAAAGAGUUUGACAUUGACAUCAGCCAAGGACCAUGACUUCUGUGCACUGGCAGACCCAAAGAAAGAUACAAUGUUAGAGGUUUGGAUCUCUGUCCAGACUGUGCCCCUUCUGCAGAUUUGCAGUUUGAAAAAAAAAACCUUCAUCAAUCAUUUAGAUGAAUAGACCAGAUUCAAGCUGGAAAAAGUUGGUUACUGUUGGAUCAAACCUAAUGGAGCAGUUUCUUGAUCUAGUAGGUAUGUGCUAGACUUGUAAUCCAGGGGUCACAGGUUCCAUCUGCUGCUCUUCCACUGACAUAGCUAAUCAUCUUUCAGGUGAGACUCUUAACCAAGAUACCAUGUAUCCAUAUACCCCUGCUAUACACCCUGCAUGUAAUAGAAACAGGUGUCUCUGGAACUGGCAUUACAACUGUAUAUUUCACUACUUCCUGAAAUCUAAAAUAACUAACUUCUUCAUAUUGUGUUGGUCAUAUAGGCAAUAAUAAAGUAUUAAAGAAGAAAUCACAGACUUGAAAUUGUUUCA